UACGUAGGGGGCAAGCGUUGUCCGGAAUCAUUGGGCGUAAAGAGCGCGUAGGCGGUCCGGUAAGUCCGCUCUGAAAGUCCGGGGCUCAACCCCGGGAGGCGGGCGGAUACUGUCGGGCUAGAGUCCGGAAGAGGAGAGUGGAAUUCCUGGUGUAGCGGUGAAAUGCGCAGAUAUCAGGAAGAACACCCGUGGCGAAGGCGGCUCUCUGGGACGGUACUGACGCUGAGACGCGAAAGCGUGGGGAGCGAACAGG
This 253-nucleotide ribosomal RNA is filed under the name uncultured bacterium. RNAcentral's name for it is "partial 16S ribosomal RNA". It matches the Rfam family "Bacterial small subunit ribosomal RNA", at positions 524 to 776 of the family's 1533-position model. The record is from RNAcentral.